GCUAUAAUCUCACUUCUCUUCCCAGUUCUCCCCAGAGUCGGGAAAAGCUGAGUUGAGAAGGGAAAAAAUAAAUGAU
This 76-nucleotide microRNA precursor is filed under the name Otolemur garnettii (small-eared galago). Its description in RNAcentral is "mir-320 microRNA precursor family". It matches the Rfam family "mir-320 microRNA precursor family". Lineage: Eukaryota; Metazoa; Chordata; Mammalia; Primates; Galagidae. The record is from Rfam by way of RNAcentral.